This 484-nucleotide ribosomal RNA is filed under the name uncultured bacterium. Its description in RNAcentral is "partial 16S ribosomal RNA". It matches the Rfam family "Bacterial small subunit ribosomal RNA", at positions 29 to 507 of the family's 1533-position model. The record is from RNAcentral.
AUUGAACGCUGGCGGCAUGCUUUACACAUGCAAGUCGAACGGCAGCGCGGGCUUCGGCCUGGCGGCGAGUGGCGAACGGGUGAGUAAUACAUCGGAACGUGCCCAGUAGUGGGGGAUAGCUCGGCGAAAGCCGGAUUAAUACCGCAUACGACCUGAGGGUGAAAGCGGGGGAUCUUCGGACCUCGCGCUAUUGGAGCGGCCGAUGGCAGAUUAGCUAGUUGGUGGGGUAAAGGCCUACCAAGGCGACGAUCUGUAGCUGGUCUGAGAGGACGACCAGCCACACUGGGACUGAGACACGGCCCAGACUCCUACGGGAGGCCGCAGUGGGGAAUUUUGGACAAUGGGCGAAAGCCUGAUCCAGCAAUGCCGCGUGUGUGAUGAAGGCCUUCGGGUUGUAAAGCACUUUUGGCGGGAACGAAAAGGACUGUGCCAAUACCACGGUUCGAUGACGGUACCCGCAGAAUAAGCACCGGCUAACUACGUG